Gallus gallus (chicken) is the source of this 2621-nucleotide long non-coding RNA. The record is from Ensembl. Lineage: Eukaryota; Metazoa; Chordata; Aves; Galliformes; Phasianidae.
AGAAGUGAUAUCGGUGAAGAGGAGUUUCAAAAACUGAUACUUUACAGAGAUGUUGAUCUUCCUUUCUUGGACUCAGGCUUGCCCACCAUAAGCAGCAGCUGAAGCUGCUGAACUCUGCUGUGCAAACUGCAGUCUCCUGAUAAUGCAGGGCCAUAGGGGACAAGGAGGCUGGUCUCAGUGUCUGUCUGGGGCAGUGGUGCACGUGGCUCCCUUCAGCCUAAUGAUGAAAAGGGAAAUGGGAUGAGGUCUUCACUAUCGAGAAAGGAGAAUCAGAAGUCAAGUCCUAUGUGCCAGGACACGGUCAGGCUGGGAUGAGGAAGGUGAUUCUCUCCAAAGGGCAUGGAACUAUUGGCAGCCUGCCUCUUUCCCUCCUCUUCCUCUGAAGCACCCUGGAGUCAGGAUGCAGCCUUUAAUGACUCAGUAGUCUGCUUGGCUGUGGCAGAUCUUACAUUUCUGGAGAGAAUCAAUAUAAACACUUUCUUUUGUCUUUCCUUUAUUUUUUUUCCCCUUUACCCAUUGUACUGCCUCCUAUUUCACUGUCUGCUGUCUACCAGCGCCUAAGGAAACUGUGAUUGGUAAUUACUGGUGCCUGGUGCUGCCCAGCCUGCAACAAAAUUGCUCAGUGUGAAAGCAGUGAGCAAAAUAAUGCAGUUGGAUUCCCUUAGAUGUGAUAGACAUUCAUCCUGAUCCUUAAUUCAGUUUCCAUUGGGAGGACAGAUCUCAGCUGCCUCUUCAUUUCCUGGUUUGGAGACUGACUCAGAAUUGAAGACAUUAAGCAUUAAAAUUAGCUGAAAAAUAAAGGGUGGAGAUGCGAAUAAUGUCAGGGACUUUGCAUUCUAUUUCUCACGAGCUUUCAAACUUGUUCAACUUUUAAGAAAAGUCUUGUUUAAUACUUGUUGUUCCAGCUACUUUUAGAAGACAUUUUGGAAGACAGGAAGGCCAGAUACUUCAGGCAAGAGGCAUAAUGACUUGGGGCACAGACCACUAAAAAAAAAAAAUCAAUCCUGAAUCCCUGAGGCUUCUGUACUCUUGUUGAGAAGGCAGAACCUAGUGUUUCAUCAAAUUUUUUGUGAUAACCAUUGAUGACGUUGCAGAAACCAUGAUAAUGUAAAAUAAUGGAUUAAAUUUGUAUGAGCAUAACUGUAGUGAUGAAACAAUUUAAACUCAUUUCUGAAGGCAUUCAUGCACUGGUGCUUGCUCAGGGUGUGAGCUAGAAGGCCACUAUCCCUUCAAAAUUAGACAGAGAUGUUGAUGACCAUUCUCAGUUAUUAUACUUCUAAAUUACAGCCUGUCCUCAUCCUUGAAGAUCAAAAAGGGAGUAAUUUCUGUUUUACAGGAGAUUACUCGCACUACAAGUCUAACUCUUGUUCACUUUGAGGUACUUAAAUAAAUCUGGAGCCCUGGCUGUAGGACAGACAGACAGUUCCAGUGGGAAAAUCAGCUCUGAAUUUCAUAAUGGGAAUUUCAUUCAUUUUCUGAAUGUGUUCAUCCUUAUCCAUUAGCCCAGAGGACCCAGGACUAGCAGACGCCUUUGAAAUUCAGCCCACUGCCUCAGGUUAGAUUAAAUGAAUCCAUACUUCUGAUCAGCAGAGUUAAAAAAAAAAAUACAAAACCCAAACCAACCAAAAAGCACCAACAACCACAUAACCAUAUAAUAAUAUGGAAGGAAAUAAAGGACAAGGGAUAUUUUUAUUUGUGCAGCUGACCAGAUAUUUCCAUCUUUGGAUUGCUCCCUCUGCUGCCUGCAAGGUAGCUGGAGGGGAGCUAGCAAAGCUACCCAGGUGGACUCUGCAUCCCUCUUCCUCGCCCAACUCCCAGCAUUAGAGAUGCCGACAGUUACUAGAUAAAGUUAAAGACUCAUGUAGUGAUCUUCACACUAAUUGGACUGUAAUGUAUAGCCUCGGUCAAGCAAAUCUCUCCCAGCACUCCUCUCCACAGACGGCAAUCAAGCCAUUUACAGAAGAUGCAUCGGCUGCUGGGACCCUGGAGUAACCUUAAACUACGCUGGCCUUUUAGCAGAAAACACAAUUAAUUUUGAUACUGAAGGGCAAUUAGGACUGGGGUUAAAAUAAAAAAUCUUCUGAACAGAGAAUGUCAAAGACUGGUAAGGAAACUAUUUCCCUUGUACACAGCUUGUUGAAGGUCUGUAAGCACGGCGACUGUCAGCUCACGUUAAUUCAUAUCACUUUGAAAACCUCUCAUUUCAAUGUAGGAAAUAUAAAUUCAGAUUAAUAAGCACUGUGCUCAAACCUCACUAAGACUGAUGGCUGUUUUCUUUAAGUCUUUUGCUGCUGAAAUGAGCACAGCUUCUCCCUCUUGCUGGGGAAACCUGUUUUACAUCCCAGAAUGUAGUGAAAUGACCAAAUGCAUUUAUUUUGUUCUGUUUCAUUUCUAAAAGAAGAUAGUCUCCCAGAUGACGCUCUGCAGAUCACGGCUGAGAGCAAAUCUUGUCAGCAACUCUGUAAACUACUCUUUAGAAAUACAGAAGAUGUUCACAGUAAUACAUAUCUACAAUGCACCCACAUGCCCUGAUGCAUGUGCAAGGCAGCCAAAAUUUUGACCUCGCCUGCACGAACUGCAUAGGUCGAUGCCACUCUCAAUAAGUCAAGCAAAUGCACCAG